RNAcentral lists this long non-coding RNA (1260 nucleotides) under Homo sapiens (human). RNAcentral describes it as "HSALNT0014339". Lineage: Eukaryota; Metazoa; Chordata; Mammalia; Primates; Hominidae. The record is from RNAcentral.
AAACUUUUGACACACAAAACAACAUGGAUGAAUCUCAAAAACAUUUUGAGUGCAAUAGGAGCCAUACGCAAAAGAGUGUGAGAAAAAUGAUAAAUAAUAAUGGUUUCAAGAAAUGCAGAGCAGAGAGCCCAGAGGCAAAGACCCACAGGACAGAGGGUCAGUCCCAGGCUGUGGAUCCUAACUAAGAAACUCCUGCUGGAUUUUGCCCAGCUCCAUUUCCAAACUAUUUUGGGUUAGUGACUUCUUUAUCCCCUCCAUGUUCCCUCAUUUUGAACUAGAAUCACUGUAGUUGUUAUUCUAUGUCUGUCCCAUCAUUUCACAUUAGGGACAGAUAAGCUGUUUGUUCAGUUUCACAGGUCGACAGAGGUAAGGGAAUUAUGUCAAGGAUCUGCACUUAAUGGACACUCUCGGAAGCCUCAUUCACACCUGGUGUGGAUGUUUUAGAUGGGAUUUUAAACUUUUGAUCUGAUGUGGUCUACAUGACAUUUUUCAUGUUGAACUAAUGCUUUAAUGACAUGAAAUCUGGAAACCUCAGGGGAGAGGGUAAAUGCACUUUGCAGAUGGGGGAAUGUGCGUGUCCUACUGUGGUAGAUGGAAUUUCUGAAAUGGUCCCCAAACAUGCCACACCCUUGUCUCUAAAGCCUCUUAACGUGAUGAGACACCAUUCCUGUGACUAUGUUGUUAUAUGCCAGUUAUAUGACUUUAAGAUGGUGAGGUUACCGCAUGAACUGGAUCUAAUCACAUCACUCCACACAUGACAGAGCUUUGUGUGGCUGGUUGGAGAAGAUGAAGUCAGAGAAGGUGGGAGCUUGAGAAGGACUCCAUAAGUUGUUAUUGGUUGAAAGAUGAAACAGACAGGUAAGGAGGAAAGCACGUGGCCUCUGGAGUCAGAGUAGAGUGUCUCCCUGCUGACAGCCAGCACAGAAAAAGGGCCCUCAGUCCCCCACAAACAAGAAUAGGAACUCUUUCAUUAUCUGUAGUGAACCUGGAAAAAUAGCUUGAGCUCUAGGAAAAAAACAUAGCCAGCCCAUUCCCGGAUUUUAGUCUCACAUGACUCUGAUCAGAGAACCCGGCCGCUUCAUUCCAGACUUCUGUGGUUUCAAACCACUGGUUUGUGGUAAUGUGAUAAUAGGCAGCGAGAGAAAACUAGUACAGGUGCCUGUCUCUCCUCUUGAAUUUCAAUUUCAGAUAAAUGUAUGCUAACCCUCUAAGAGAAAAAAAUCAAUCAAUCGACCAAUCAAUGAAAGAACUACAGUAAAA